RNAcentral lists this ribosomal RNA (301 nucleotides) under uncultured bacterium. RNAcentral describes it as "partial 16S ribosomal RNA". It matches the Rfam family "Bacterial small subunit ribosomal RNA", at positions 509 to 808 of the family's 1533-position model. The record is from RNAcentral.
CAGUAGCCGCGGUAAUACGUAGGGGGCAAGCGUUGUCCGGAAUUAUUGGGCGUAAAGCGCGCGCAGGCGGUCAUUUAAGUCUGGUGUUUAAUCCCGGGGCUCAACCCCGGAUCGCACUGGAAACUGGGUGACUUGAGUGCAGAAGAGGAGAGUGGAAUUCCACGUGUAGCGGUGAAAUGCGUAGAUAUGUGGAGGAACACCAGUGGCGAAGGCGACUCUCUGGGCUGUAACUGACGCUGAGGCGCGAAAGCGUGGGGAGCAAACAGGAUUAGAUACCCGUGUAGUCCCUGUCUCUUAUACA